GAUGAACGCUGGCGGCGUGCCUAAUACAUGCAGGUCGAGCGAACGGACGAGAAGCUUGCUUCUCUGAUGUUAGCGGCGGACGGGUGAGUAACACGUGGAUAACCUACCUAUAAGACUGGGAUAACUUCGGGAAACCGGAGCUAAUACCGGAUAAUAUUUUGAACCGCAUGGUUCAAAAGUGAAAGACGGUCUUGCUGUCACUUAUAGAUGGAUCCGCGCUGCAUUAGCUAGUUGGUAAGGUAACGGCUUACCAAGGCAACGAUGCAUAGCCGACCUGAGGGUGAUCGGCCACACUGGAACUGAGACACGGUCCAGACUCCUACGGGAGGCAGCAGUAGGGAAUCUUCCGCAAUGGGCGAAAGCCUGACGGAGCAACGCCGCGUGAGUGAUGAAGGUCUUCGGAUCGUAAAACUCUGUUAUUAGGGAAGAACAUAUGUGUAAGUAACUGUGCACAUCUUGACGGUACCUAAUCAGAAAGCCACGGCUAACUACGUG
This 495-nucleotide ribosomal RNA is filed under the name uncultured bacterium. Its description in RNAcentral is "partial 16S ribosomal RNA". It matches the Rfam family "Bacterial small subunit ribosomal RNA", at positions 28 to 507 of the family's 1533-position model. The record is from RNAcentral.